AGCGAACGUUAGCGGCACGCCUAACACAUGCAAGUCGCACGAGAACAGGGGCAACCCUUAGUAAAGUGGCGCACGGGUGCGUAACACGUAGAUAACCUGCCCUUUGGAGGGGGAUAACGUUCCGAAAGGAGCGCUAAUACCGCAUACAGCAAGAGCCGGUUCGCCGGUUUUUGGUCAAAGGUAGGGAUCCGCAAGGACCUACCGCCAGAGGAGGGGUCGUGCGGCCCACUCAGCUAGUUGGUGAGGUAANGGCUCACCAAGGCAGAGACGGGUAGGCUGGUCUGAGAGGAUGAUCAGCCACACUGGUACUGGAACACGGA
This 320-nucleotide ribosomal RNA is filed under the name uncultured bacterium. RNAcentral's name for it is "bacterial SSU rRNA". It matches the Rfam family "Bacterial small subunit ribosomal RNA", at positions 29 to 330 of the family's 1533-position model. The record is from RNAcentral.